GUGGGGAAUAUUGGACAAUGGGCGCAAGCCUGAUCCAGCCAUGCGGCGUGAGUGAUGAAGGCCUUAGGGUUGUAAAGCUCUUUUGUCCGGGAAGAUAAUGACUGUACCGGAAGAAUAAGCCCCGGCUAACUUCGUGCCAGCAGCCGCGGUAAUACGAAGGGGGCUAGCGUUGUUCGGAAUCACUGGGCGUAAAGCGCACGUAGGCGGACCAUUAAGUCAGGGGUGAAAGCCUGGAGCUCAACUCCAGAACUGCCUUUGAUACUGAUGGUCUCGAGUAUGGAAGAGGUUGGUGAAACUGCGAGUGUAGAGGUGAAAUUCGUAGAUAUUCGGAGGAACACCAGUGGCGAAGGCGGCUCACUGGCUCGAUACUGACGCUGAGGUGCGAAAGCGUGGGGAGCAAACAGGAUUAGAUACCCUAGUAGUCC
RNAcentral lists this ribosomal RNA (425 nucleotides) under uncultured bacterium. Its description in RNAcentral is "partial 16S ribosomal RNA". It matches the Rfam family "Bacterial small subunit ribosomal RNA", at positions 354 to 796 of the family's 1533-position model. The record is from RNAcentral.